This 253-nucleotide ribosomal RNA is filed under the name uncultured bacterium. RNAcentral describes it as "partial 16S ribosomal RNA". It matches the Rfam family "Bacterial small subunit ribosomal RNA", at positions 524 to 776 of the family's 1533-position model. The record is from RNAcentral.
UACGUAGGGUGCAAGCGUUGUCCGGAAUUAUUGGGCGUAAAGAGCACGCAGGUGGUUCUGUGCGUGGGGUGUGAAAGCUCUCGGCUUAACUGAGAGAGGCCACCUCAUACGGCAGAGCUCGAGCCCGUGAGAGGUCCACGGAAUUGCCGGUGUAGCGGUGAAAUGCGCAGAUAUCGGGAGGAACACCAAUGGCGAAGGCAGCUCGCUGGGACGUUACUGACGCUGAGACGCGAAAGCGUGGGGAGAAAACAGG